CAAGCCGAAUUAAGGUGAAACCGCGAAAGGCUCAUUAAAUCAGUUAGGUUCCUUAGAUCGUACCCACAAUUACUUGGAUAACUGUGGUAAUUCUAGAGCUAAUACAUGCAAACAGAGCUCCGACCGGAGACGGAAGGAGUGCUUUUAUUAGAUCAAAACCAAUCGGUGGCGGGUUCGCUCGUUAUCGUACAACUUGGUGACUCUGAAUAACUUUACGCUGAUCGCACGGUCAUCGCACCGGCGACGCAUCUUUCAAAUGUCUGCCUUAUCAACUGUCGAUGGUAGGUUCUGCGCCUACCAUGGUUGUAACGGGUAACGGGGAAUCAGGGUU
Molecule: ribosomal RNA, 331 nt
Filed under: Trigonopterus sundaicus
Lineage: Eukaryota; Metazoa; Arthropoda; Insecta; Coleoptera; Curculionidae
Description: SSU rRNA
Rfam family: Eukaryotic small subunit ribosomal RNA
Source: RNAcentral